Myotis daubentonii (Daubenton's bat) is the source of this 329-nucleotide long non-coding RNA. RefSeq lists it as uncharacterized. NCBI's taxonomy places the organism in Eukaryota, Metazoa, Chordata, Mammalia, Chiroptera, Vespertilionidae. The transcript is spliced from 2 exons. The record is from RefSeq and is a predicted model, not a curated record.
CGCACAGCUGGCUGGCUCAUAGUUCCAAUCGUCAGCAUCAACUCUCAGGACCUGCUUUAUAAGAAAUCUCUGCCUCAAGAGGCCUGUCCAGCCUCUGUGAAUACUGCUUGUGAGCCUCCUGAUGCCAAAGAGACUGACUUCUGCCCAGCCAGCGUGGCUCAGUGGUUGAGCAUCAACCUAUGAGCCAGGAGGUCACAGUUUGAUUCCUGGUCAGGGUAUAUGCCCAGGUUGUGGGCUCAAUCCCCAAUGUGAGGUGUGCAGGAUGAUUCUCUCUCAUCAUUGAUGUUUCUAUCUAUCUCUUCAUCUCCCUCCCUCUCUGAAAUCAAUAA